GAGAGUGCUUAUGUAAGUGAUUCUAAGCUGGUCCGAAUCAUCGCAUCUUCCGCAACCGAGAAUGAAGAGCAUCGAGAAGAGCAGUAAAUAGGUGGACAUCGUUGCACUGAUGAAUUAAAAACAAAUUAUUAACACUUUAUCUACCACCGAUGACUUAAUAAUAAUCAUUUAAAAGCCACAGAUCGACCUUUCAGCAGCAACAACUCAAGUUUCAAUAGCUAACUAGUUAGGGGAGAGAUGUACAUAAAUAAAUACAUAUUUAUUUUAUGUAAUAUUCUUCUUAGGCUACUAUUUGUACUUCAAUUUCACCGAUAUUCUGAUACGAUGGUUUCUUAUUUUCAGGCACUGCACGACUCUUUUCUAAUACGUUUUCGAUAGGAAACGUGUUGUGUUAAUCCCGUUUACGAGUAUAUACCUGAUUGCUUUGAUGGCUCCGAUAGUGUGUGUUCUCGAGCGAACCGACAACUGAACAUUCCAUCACCGUCUCACGAACUUUUAUUUGCCGGCUUACGGUGGAAAGCGUACGAAACGACAGUAGUUGAUUAUUAAUAAGUUGCUAGUAAGUGGAAUUUUAAUAAUUGAGAUACAUUGUUCAAGGUGUUACGUCUCUCGGAAAGUAAAUCUGGCGUAUGAUGUGGCAGAUCGUAAAUCACGCGCAUGAGGUCAGAAAAAAUCCAUUAAAAAUUAUGAAACAUGACUCAGUUUUAUUUUACAAAACAAUUGCCAUAAACUUGUAUUGCAGAUAAGGCAAUAAUGUUGAGAUUAUAAUCUGUUUAGAUAGUCCUGAAGGACAUCAACUUCGCAAAAUUAUAAACACGGUUCAACAAGAAUGUCAUAUUUACAUUGUGUUGUUCAGAAGUUCGCAUGUAUCCGACAGUAUAGCUAUUUAGCAUUACAAAUGUCUGAUACGUAA
This is a non-coding RNA of Megalopta genalis, 913 nucleotides long. The record is from RefSeq and is a predicted model, not a curated record. NCBI's taxonomy places the organism in Eukaryota, Metazoa, Arthropoda, Insecta, Hymenoptera, Halictidae.